This 72-nucleotide transfer RNA is filed under the name Ovis aries (sheep). It matches the Rfam family "tRNA". From Rfam's summary of the family: Transfer RNA (tRNA) molecules are approximately 80 nucleotides in length. Their secondary structure includes four short double-helical elements and three loops (D, anti-codon, and T loops). The record is from Rfam by way of RNAcentral. Lineage: Eukaryota; Metazoa; Chordata; Mammalia; Artiodactyla; Bovidae.
UCCCAUCUGGCUCAGAAGGUAAAGAAUCUGUCUGCAAUGCAGAAGACCUUGGUUCAGUCCCUGGGUUGGGAA